Molecule: transfer RNA, 76 nt
Filed under: Chloroflexota bacterium
Lineage: Bacteria; Bacillati; Chloroflexota
Also listed under: 2 other names
Description: Chloroflexi bacterium (sediment metagenome) tRNA-Glu
Rfam family: tRNA
About the family: Transfer RNA (tRNA) molecules are approximately 80 nucleotides in length.
Source: RNAcentral
GGCGGUAUCGUCUAGGGGACCAGGACGUAGCCCUCUCAAGGCUAAAACCGGGGUUCGAAUCCCCGUACCGCUACCA